Molecule: non-coding RNA, 844 nt
Organism: Phoenix dactylifera (date palm)
Lineage: Eukaryota; Viridiplantae; Streptophyta; Magnoliopsida; Arecales; Arecaceae
Source: RefSeq, a predicted model, not a curated record
UUAACAGCCCUAUCGGUUACAUGUAGAUUUAGGUUUCAUGAGACUUGACAUGCACAAAUUUCAAAAGAAAAUUCAAUCUACUAAAACAAAUACCAUACUCUCUACGAGCGACAUGAAAAAUUCCACGGUUACAUGGAAAGAAGGUAAUCUGACCGGUUCAACCCGAAUAAUCGGAGAGGACAUUAAAAGGAUUGAAGCGUAAACCUCACCACCAAUAUAUCUCAGAAAGAGCACCGAAUCCACAACCGCGAGUCACCACUCCAGCCGGUAAAACUACGCAGUCAAAAACCAGCCCUUAUCUUUUUUUCUCCCACACGACACGAACUGCUGGAAACCAGCCAAAGUCAACACUUCCAGAAGUUCCAUUCCUUCCAAUUCAUUUUUUCCGCAAUAAAGACAUGCAAGCCAACAAAGCGAGUGACAAGAAAAGCCCGACAUCCCACGUCCUGGAAUGUCCCAUGAACCUCCAAUCCAAUAUUUCUUUAAGUUUUCUCCGGUCGCACGGUGAACGGGCCCAUGCUCCUCCAAAUUCCACCGUCACAGAGCUGAUCAGAUGACAGCCUACCCUUAGGAUCGCCAAAAAAACUACACAAUAGCAAACUUUUCCCCAAUCUCAUACGACUAAAAUUACUUUUCUGGAGUCAUCACAGAGAGGGGAGAAAAAUCAACCAAAGGCAGUCGUAUCUCUGAAUCUUUUUGAUCAGAUGCCAAAGAGGGAGCCUUUUCCGUUCUAUCAGCGCGUCAGCGACAGCAGCAUUUACCGCGACGUUGAUGGAGUGCGGAAAGCACUCUGCUUUCUUGUUUCUUUCCAAGAAAGGUCGAAUUAUAAUUCUACAUGAUGGGG